Molecule: ribosomal RNA, 779 nt
Filed under: uncultured Neocallimastigales
Lineage: Eukaryota; Fungi; Neocallimastigomycota; Neocallimastigomycetes; Neocallimastigales
Description: partial large subunit ribosomal RNA
Rfam family: Eukaryotic large subunit ribosomal RNA
Source: RNAcentral
CGCAUCUGUGCAUGCAGCAUAUCAAUAAGCGGAGGAAAAGAAACUAACAAGGAUUCCCCUAGUAACGGCGAGUGAAGCGGGAAGAGCUCAAAUUUGAAAUCUUAAAGGGUUUCCCUUUACGAAUUGUAGUUUAAAGAAGUGUUUUCUGUUGAGGUUUUGGUAAAAGUUCUUUGGAAUAGGACAUCAUAGAGGGUGAGAAUCCCGUAUUUGACCUAUUACUUUCAACUUUGUGAUACACUUUCAAAGAGUCGGAUUGUUUGGGAAUGCAGUCCAAAAUGGGCUGGUAAAUUUCAUCUAAAGCUAAAUAUUGGCGAGAGACCGAUAGCGAACAAGUACCGUGAGGGAAAGAUGAAAAGAACUUUGAAAAGAGAGUUAAACAGUACGUGAAAUUGUCAAAAGGGAAGCGUUUGACACCAGUGUUGUUUUUCUGAAAAUCAAUUAAAGAACUGUUUAUGCUAAGUUGUUUAGACUUUAUCAGCUAACUGUUUAGUUUUGAGCAUUUUCUUUAAUGCACUUUUCAGUUAACAAGUCAACAUCAAUUUCUUUUGCUGUAAAAAAGGCUUGAGGAAGGUGGCUUGAGAUUCGUCUUAAGUGUUUAUAGCCUCUUGCCUAUGCAGUCGGAGAGAUUGAGGUCCUGCAGCGUAGAUCCUUCGGGGCUAAAUGCAUUUGUGCUAAGUUAUAGCAUUUUAUAGACAACUUGUUGACUAUGAUUUGUCUUGUAGCUUACUCGCUUAUGUUAUUUUACCUACGCUUAGGAUGUUGACAGCAGUAUAGACUGU